ACAUGCAGUCGAGCGGACAGAAGGGAGCUUGCUCCCGGAUGUUAGCGGCGGACGGGUGAGUAACACGUGGGUAACCUGCCUGUAAGACUGGGAUAACUCCGGGAAACCGGAGCUAAUACCGGAUAGUUCCUUGAACCGCAUGGUUCAAGGAUGAAAGACGGUUUCGGCUGUCACUUACAGAUGGACCCGCGGCGCAUUAGCUAGUUGGUGGGGUAAUGGCUCACCAAGGCGACGAUGCGUAGCCGACCUGAGAGGGUGAUCGGCCACACUGGGACUGAGACACGGCCCAGACUCCUACGGGAGGCAGCAGUAGGGAAUCUUCCGCAAUGGACGAAAGUCUGACGGAGCAACGCCGCGUGAGUGAUGAAGGUUUUCGGAUCGUAAAGCUCUGUUGUUAGGGAAGAACAAGUGCGAGAGUAACUGCUCGCACCUUGACGGUACCUAACCAGAAAGCCACGGCUAACUACGUGCCAGCAGCCGCGGUAAUACGUAGGUGGCAAGCGUUGUCCGGAAUUAUUGGGCGUAAAGGGCUCGCAGGCGGUUUCUUAAGUCUGAUGUGAAAGCCCCCGGCUCAACCGGGGAGGGUCAUUGGAAACUGGGAAACUUGAGUGCAGAAGAGGAGAGUGGAAUUCCACGUGUAGCGGUGAAAUGCGUAGAGAUGUGGAGGAACACCAGUGGCGAAGGCGACUCUCUGGUCUGUAACUGACGCUGAGGAGCGAAAGCGUGG
RNAcentral lists this ribosomal RNA (727 nucleotides) under Bacillus pumilus. Its description in RNAcentral is "bacterial SSU rRNA". It matches the Rfam family "Bacterial small subunit ribosomal RNA", at positions 53 to 764 of the family's 1533-position model. Lineage: Bacteria; Bacillati; Bacillota; Bacilli; Caryophanales; Bacillaceae. The record is from RNAcentral.